CCCUUAGAUGUUCUGGGCCGCACGCGCGCUACACUGACGGAGUCAACGAGUUGUCCUGCAUCGGAAGGUGUGGGUAAUCUUUUGAAACUUCGUCGUGCUGGGGAUAGAUCUUUGCAAUUUUCGAUCUUGAACGAGGAAUUCCUAGUAAGCGUGAUUCAUCAGAUCGCGUUGAUUACGUCCCUGCCCUUUGUACACACCGCCCGUCGCUACUACCGAUUGAAUGGUUUAGUGAGGCCUCGGGACUGGCGCGCUCGAGUAGCAAUACACCUGCGCGCCGGGAACUUGGUCAAACUUGAUCAUUUAGAGGAAGUAAAAGUCGUANCA
Molecule: ribosomal RNA, 324 nt
Filed under: uncultured eukaryote
Lineage: Eukaryota
Description: partial 18S ribosomal RNA
Rfam family: Eukaryotic small subunit ribosomal RNA
Source: RNAcentral